Molecule: long non-coding RNA, 416 nt
Filed under: Linum usitatissimum (flax)
Lineage: Eukaryota; Viridiplantae; Streptophyta; Magnoliopsida; Malpighiales; Linaceae
Description: long non-coding RNA (LUSI_LNC007438)
Source: RNAcentral
AACAGAGGAAGGAGGAGGAUGGGUAAGGUGGGUUGAUGAUCAGGGCACUUGUUGCUGCUACUUAUCUGCUCUGCUUGAAUAGUGUGGGGUAUUUUAAUUUUAACUCCGUUUUUUGUUUGUGUUGUUAAGUUGAGAAAGUAAGUAAUGUCUGUUGGAUGUGAGUUCCCUUUGUAGAAACCUUUGGUUCCCCAUGAAGACGCUAGUAGUAGUACAUGUAUCUUGUGUGGCCACUGCAACUGCAAGCAAUGCUAAUUCUAUUUUGGUUAUUUAAGAAGGAAAAAACGAGAGAAGAUGAGAGUUUGAGAGUGAAGUUGUCGUUUGAUUGCUACAGAACCUAACUAUUGCUUGUGUUGUGUGGUGAUUUGAUGAUUCCUCACUUCAUUCUUUAACUACAAUGUCUGUUACCUCUCUGUACA